GCCUGGGUGGCUCAGUUGGUUGAGCGUCUGACUUCGGCUCAGGUCAUGAUCUCACAGUUCGUGGGUUCGAGCCCCGCGUCAGGCU
RNAcentral lists this transfer RNA (85 nucleotides) under Felis catus (domestic cat). It matches the Rfam family "tRNA". From Rfam's summary of the family: Transfer RNA (tRNA) molecules are approximately 80 nucleotides in length. Lineage: Eukaryota; Metazoa; Chordata; Mammalia; Carnivora; Felidae. The record is from Rfam by way of RNAcentral. RNAcentral also lists the same sequence under 2 other names.